This 790-nucleotide long non-coding RNA is filed under the name Coffea arabica (coffee). RNAcentral describes it as "long non-coding RNA (CARA_LNC006050)". Lineage: Eukaryota; Viridiplantae; Streptophyta; Magnoliopsida; Gentianales; Rubiaceae. The record is from RNAcentral.
UGAAUUUGGGAAAAGUCGGAUUUCAGCUGAUAAUUUGAACAAUCACUGCCUAGUGCCUUCACCUAGGGCUUUCACAGUUUCACUCCCAAGUCCCAAUUCCCAAAUCGAAGCUGCUCUCCAGCCUCCGCCAGUCCGCCGCACUCUACCUCUCCUGUCUCCAUCUCAGUCCUCAUUUGACCUCAUUUCUCACUUCACCAGUUCAUCGCUGCCGAGUACCGAAGCCGAAGCACCAAUACUGCUCAUCUCUGGCUCGCUUAGGUAAGUGCUCAUCUCUGGCAGUAAAAUGGCCAAGAUCGACUAGGAAAUUUGUUAUCCUGAAUUGAUAAGGGGACGAAAUCUGAGCUUCCAAUUGCAAACUCUCACUUUUGUAAUAGUUUAGAUUAGAUUUGAUAUAACAUAAGCUUUGUAUUUUAUACAUAAGAAAUCUCUCUCCAGUUGUGCAGCCUUUGAAAGUUAAGGCCUUGGGGAAAAAUUCCACCUUUUACCCGUUAGAAAAAUUAUAAAGGAAAAAACUUGCUAAAAUGAAAAUUUUACUUCCUUGUCCGUGGGAGAUUCUCUUAAUUAAUGGGUCUUGCCAACAUUCUGGAUGAAGUUAUGCACUUGUGCUUCUUUGAAACUAGUCUAUUCUUGGCCUUGAAUAUUAUAUUGGCCAACAACCUAGAUUUAAGUCUUGAUACAACAGGAGAAUAUUUUUGGGCUGAACAGGUUUCUGUCCAAAAGUAAUAUGAUAAAAUGUCCCUGACCCAAUUUCUUUGUGUGCAUUAUAUGCAAAUCUGGUGAAGUUAAUACU